GUUCUAAUGCUACGGCGACUCGUGUAGUGUGUGUAUGUAUAUUCGUGAUGUAACACAAUAUAAUAAUAUUAUAAUGCUCAUUCAGAUGUAUAUGGCGUAGUAUUGUUGUAGUGUACGUAUUAUAGGUAAACCUACCUAUGCGGCCCACGUAAUAUUAUUAUGCGGUUGUCAGUUAUCGACACGAAUUACGACCGAAAAGCUACAUACGUUGCGUAAAGAACGAUCGUCAUCGCCGUCGUAUUAACACGACACGCAGUGCGACGCGAUUCUCGAAGAUCAUCAUCACGACGUUUGCAACGGAAGGUAUAUUAUUGUAAACAUUAUUAUUCCUCCAAUGUGCAGUACACUCGUGUCCUCUGCGUAUAUUAAAUGUAUCUAUUAAAAAUGUCACCGGUCGCAUGGGUAUAGCAGAUAUAACUCAAGUGUAAGUACCGCGUGCGUGGACCAUCGUAACUGCAUACGCCGUUAAACGUGUAUUAAUAGCCACUCACUUUUGACUAAUUUAUUCGUGUGUACGGUCGCGACACGACUAUAUUAGUUUCACUCUGAAAUGUUCCACGAAAACGCACGAUGACCACGGGGAUUCUUGUGAUGCUGCGAUAUGUACCUGUAUUGGAUGUAUCAUAGGACUGGAUCCCGGGCGUGGCAGGCAUUCAAUUACUAGCUAUGUCGUUCGUCUCCCACAAUAUAAGGAGUAGCCGUCAGUCAGGAGCAGCAGGAGCCGGCAAUAUAUCGAAGCGGCGGCGGCGGUGGCUAUCGAAUCCGUCGUGAUGUUUAAAUAACCUUUCCCUGUACAUUAUACAAUAUUAUAUUAUAAUAAUAUAAGCGAUUUGAUAUGAUCUUAAAACGCAAGAAUGUGUGUACCUAUAUAAUAAUAUAUUAAAUAGGUACUAUGUUUGUAAUUAAUUUCCUCGAAUAACUAUAUACGCCUCUCCCUCUC
Molecule: long non-coding RNA, 940 nt
Organism: Aphis gossypii (cotton aphid)
Lineage: Eukaryota; Metazoa; Arthropoda; Insecta; Hemiptera; Aphididae
Exons: 3
Source: RefSeq, a predicted model, not a curated record